RNAcentral lists this unclassified non-coding RNA (149 nucleotides) under soil metagenome. Its description in RNAcentral is "partial internal transcribed spacer 1". The record is from RNAcentral.
CCGAGUUUACAACUUCCAAACCCCUGUGAACAUACCUACUUGUUGCCUCGGCGGAUCAGCCCGCGCCCCGUAAAACGGGACGGCCCGCCAGAGGACCCCUAAACUCUGUUUCUAUAGUGGAACUUCUGAGUAAAACAAUAAAUAAAUCA